CCGGCACGGGUGAGUAACACGUAUCCAACCUGCCGUCUACUCUUGGCCAGCCUUCUGAAAGGAAGAUUAAUCCAGGAUGGCAUCAUGAGUUCACAUGUCCGCAUGAUUAAAGGUAUUUUCCGGUAGACGAUGGGGAUGCGUUCCAUUAGAUAGUAGGCGGGGUAACGGCCCACCUAGUCAACGAUGGAUAGGGGUUCUGAGAGAAAGGUCCCCCACAUUGGAACUGAGACACGGUCCAA
Molecule: ribosomal RNA, 239 nt
Filed under: uncultured bacterium
Lineage: Bacteria
Description: partial 16S ribosomal RNA
Rfam family: Bacterial small subunit ribosomal RNA
Source: RNAcentral